CUCCAACCACCGCUGCAUACGUGACGACUUGCUGUUGAUUGCAGCGUCCUCCUUGCUUUGGCUGUCCUGGGGUAAGCGUCGUAUUCCGUCGCGCUGAUAUUAUCUGCUUUAAUCGUGUGUUUUACACUUUGUAAUGAAGUCCCUAUUUGCGUCGUGAACUUUGAAUCCAUUUGUGUGGCUUUGCGGAACACGGGAUCUUCUGAACUAAUUAUUAAUGGCAGAACAUAUUUCGGUGAAAACACACCGCUGCACCUAUUCAACUGAAUGACUCGAAGCGGGACAACGUGAAGCUUGGUUACAAAGUAAAUACCGCAAUACAGCAAUAUGAAGUGAUAAGAAAGGCAGAUAUAAAGUGACAUCAAAUUCAUUGACAACUGAGCAGAUAUGACUGAAGUGUCAAGUGGAAAAAAUGCUGCAGAAAGUAGGAAGAACAAAUUUAUAUGAAUUAUAAGAAAACGUUGAAUGAUCAAUCUCGACAUUCUGACAUCAGUUUCUUACUCCACAUGGCCGAUUGUGUCUAAGUUGAAAAUGAAGAGUCAUUGAACAUCCGAACUUUGUGUAUUUGAGCAUAAAGUAGCGGGUUGGAUCCAAAUUGUUCAGUACGGAAAGAAGAAGAAUGGGACAGACUUGCAUAUCGAUGUAGUUGUUGUAUUAAAAACUAUUUGUCGGUAGCUAUUUGUUCACUUCGUUAUUUAAACUUUAGAACAUUGAUAUAUAAAAUCUGAUACAUUGCAUUUGAUAUAAAGUAAUAUGGCCAUGCAUACUAAAACUGCUUAUUUUAAUAGAAUUUAAACAAUAUCUCUAUUUGUAGUGAUUAUUUCACCGACAUGCAUU
Non-coding RNA from Styela clava, 834 nucleotides. NCBI's taxonomy places the organism in Eukaryota, Metazoa, Chordata, Ascidiacea, Stolidobranchia, Styelidae. The record is from RefSeq and is a predicted model, not a curated record.